This 423-nucleotide ribosomal RNA is filed under the name uncultured bacterium. RNAcentral describes it as "partial 16S ribosomal RNA". It matches the Rfam family "Bacterial small subunit ribosomal RNA", at positions 361 to 776 of the family's 1533-position model. The record is from RNAcentral.
AUUUUGGUCAAUGGGGGAAACCCUGAUCCAGCCAUCCCGCGUGUGCGAUGAAUGCCUNNNGGUUGNACAGCACUUUUGGCAGGNAAGNAAAGGUUCUGGCUAAUACCCGGAACUGCUGACGGUACCUGCAGAAUAAUCACCGGCUAACUACGUUCCAGCAGCAGCGGUAAUACGUAGGGUGCAAUCGUUAAUCGCAAUUACUGGGCGUAAAGCGUGCGCAGGCGGUUUGGCAAGAAGGAUGUGAAAUCCCAGGGCUUAACCUUGGGACUGCAUUCUUAACUGCCAGGCUAGAGUAUGUCAGAGGGGGGUAGAAUUCCGCGUGUAGCAGUGAAAUGCGUAGAGAUGCGGAGGAAUACCGAUGGCGAAGGCAGCCCCCUGGGAUAAUACUGACGCUCAUGCACGAAAGCGUGGGGAGCAAACAGG